RNAcentral lists this transfer RNA (72 nucleotides) under Apaloderma vittatum (bar-tailed trogon). It matches the Rfam family "tRNA". From Rfam's summary of the family: Transfer RNA (tRNA) molecules are approximately 80 nucleotides in length. Their secondary structure includes four short double-helical elements and three loops (D, anti-codon, and T loops). The record is from Rfam by way of RNAcentral. Lineage: Eukaryota; Metazoa; Chordata; Aves; Trogoniformes; Trogonidae.
GGCUGGUUAGCUCAGUCAGUUGAGCGUAGCGCUAACAACGCUAAGGUCGCGGGUUCAAUUCCCAUUCGGUCC